This 2943-nucleotide ribosomal RNA is filed under the name Triticum aestivum (bread wheat). RNAcentral describes it as "partial small subunit ribosomal RNA". The record is from RNAcentral. Lineage: Eukaryota; Viridiplantae; Streptophyta; Magnoliopsida; Poales; Poaceae.
AUGUCGGCAGAUGCUGCUGCGGCGGCGAGCGUGGGCAAGCUGGUGCUCGACACUGGCUGGCUCGCCGCGCGCUCCACCGAGGUGGCCCUCACCGGCGUCGAGCUCACCACCACCCACCCGCCGGACGCCUCCGUCGCCGCCCCGUGGAUGCACGCCGCCGUCCCCGGAACCGUGCUGGGGACCCUUCUAAAAAACAAGUUGAUCCCUGAUCCCUUCUACGGGCUGAACAACGAGGCAAUCAUCGACAUCGCCGAUUCCGGGAGGGAGUACUACACGUUCUGGUUCUUCACCACCUUCCAGUGUGCUCCGGCAGGAAACCGGCACGUGAGUUUAAACUUCCGUGGAGUAAACUACUCAGCAGAAGUAUACAUAAAUGGGCACAAAGAGAUACUUCCAAAAGGAAUGUUCCGAAGGCACACCCUUGAUAUUACUGAAGUUCUUCAUCCUGAGGGCAGCAAUCUGCUUGCUGUCCUCGUUCAUCCUCCUGAUCAUCCUGGUACGAUUCCUCCUCAGGGAGGUCAAGGCGGUGAUCAUGAGAUUGGAAAAGAUGUUGCUACGCAAUAUGUUGAAGGAUGGGAUUGGAUGUGCCCGAUAAGGGAUAGAAACACGGGAAUCUGGGAUGAAGUUUCGAUCUGCAUAACUGGGGCUGUGAACAUAACCGAUCCCCAUCUGGUUUCAACUUUUCAUGACGAUUUUAAGAGAUCGUAUCUACAUUGUACACUUCAGUUGGAGAACAAAAGUUCAUGGCUCGCAGAUUGUAGUUUAAAAAUUCAGGUUUCUGCUGAACUAGAGGGGGACAUUUGUUUGGUGGAACAUCUUCAGAGUUAUGCCAUAUCGAUUCCUCCUCGUUCAGUUCUGGAAUACACUAUCCCUCCGUUAUUCUUCUAUAAGCCAAACCUGUGGUGGCCAAAUGGCAUGGGAAAGCAAUCCCUGUACAAUGUUGAAAUUAGUGUGGAUGUCAAUGGACUAGGAGAGUCCGAUGCAUGGAGUCAUUAUUUUGGGUUCCGUAAGGUUGAGAGUUCUAUUGAUGAUUCCACUGGUGGGAGGAUCUUCAAGGUAAACGGUGAGCCUAUUUUCAUCCGAGGAGGGAACUGGAUAUUGUCAGAUGGCCUGCUUCGACUAACAAAGAAGCGCUACAUGACCGAUAUCAAGUUUCAUGCUGAUAUGAACUUUAAUAUGCUUCGCUGUUGGGGUGGUGGAUUAGCAGAGAGGCCUGAUUUUUACCAUUUUUGUGAUGUAUAUGGUUUGAUGGUAUGGCAGGAAUUCUGGAUAACUGGAGAUGUUGAUGGUCGUGGACUUCCAAUAUCAAACCCAGAUGGUCCUUUGGACCAUGCUCUCUUCCUUCUAUGUGCUAGAGAUACUGUCAAGUUACUCAGAAAUCAUGCUAGUCUAGCUCUAUGGGUUGGUGGUAAUGAGCAAGUCCCACCAAUUGACAUCAACAGAGCACUGAAGAAUGAUUUGAAGCUACAUCCUAUGUUUUUGAGCAACCAGACAACAAAAAAUCAAGGAAAGUAUCUAUCACAAGACCCAACUGACCCAAGUAAAUACCUGGAUGGUACUAGGGCGUAUGUCCAAGGAUCAAUGUGGGAUGGUUUUGCUGAUGGGAAAGGCAAUUUCACUGAUGGUCCAUAUGAGAUUCAGUAUCCAGAGAGCUUUUUCAAGAAUAGUUUCUACAAAUAUGGGUUUAACCCUGAAGUUGGUUCUGUGGGGGUUCCAGUUGCUGCAACGAUUAGAGCAACAAUGCCUCCAGAAGGGUGGAGUAUUCCAAUUUUUAAGAAGGGAAUUGAUGGGUACAUACAAGAAGUCCCAAACCCAAUAUGGGAUUACCACAAGUACAUUCCCUACUCGAAACCGGGGAAGGUGCAUGAUCAGAUUGAACUAUACGGCCAUCCAAAAGAUCUUGAUGAUUUCUGUGAAAAAGCACAAUUGAUCAAUUAUGUUCAGUACAGAGCUCUCCUGGAAGGAUGGACUUCUUUCAUGUGGACAAAGUUCACAGGUGUUCUAAUUUGGAAGACGCAAAAUCCAUGGACCGGACUACGAGGACAGUUCUAUGAUCACCUCCAAGACCAAACUGCCGGGUUCUAUGGUUGCCGUUGUGCUGCUGAGCCGAUUCAUGUCCAAUUGAAUUUGGCUAGUUACAACAUAGAGGUGGUAAACACUACGUCCGAUAAGCUGACAGACGUGGCUGUAGAAAUUUCAGUAUGGGAUCUUGACGGUGCAUCCCCAUAUUACAAAGUUACAGAGAAGUUCGUGGCACCGCCAAAGAAAGUGAAGCAAAUUAUGGAGAUGGAAUACCCUAAGAUGAAGAAUGCCAAGCCUGUCUAUUUUCUACUGCUUAAACUCUUCAGGCUUUCAGACAAGAAAGUACUCUCCAGAAACUUCUAUUGGCUACAUCUUCCUGGUAAAGACUACAAGUUGUUGGAAGAAUAUCGGCAGAGGACAAUUCCGCUCGAGAUCGGCUCCGAAAUUUCUGUCUUAGGCGGCACAUACAAGGUAAGAAUGUCCAUAAAGAACAAGUCAAAGAAAUCCGCAGCUGAAAGCACAACCUCGGUCUCAACUAUGGAGCCAGAGGAUGGAAAUGGUCUCCACAGCAUUAGCGAAAAAACUACUUGUGUGGUACAGAAAAGUGGUCUGUGGAGUAAAAUUCACAGGAACAUUGAUCUCGCAAGAUCGGGUGACAAACCAAGAACACUUGAGGUGAAGGGGACUGAUUCAGGUGUGGCGUUUUUCCUUCAUUUCUCGGUGCACACCUCUGAAUCAUCCACUGGGGAGAAUUACAGGGACACCAGAAUCCUUCCGGUGCACUACUCGGACAACUAUUUUUCUCUCAUGCCCGGGGAGAAGAUGACAGCCGACAUCUCCUUCGAGGCUCCUGAAGGAUCCAAGCCCAGGGUCAUUCUGAGAGGCUGGAACUAUCAUCUGAACCAUGCAGUGAUGAUGUGA